AACGCGAAGAACCUUACCUGGUCUUGACAUCCCAUUGACUGGUCCGUAACGGGACCUUCCCUCCGGGGCAAUGGAGACAGGUGGUGCAUGGUUGUCGUCAGCUCGUGUCGUGAGAUGUUGGGUUAAGUCCCGCAACGAGCGCAACCCCUAUCCUUAGUAGCCAGCAGUUCGGCUGGGCACUCUAGGGAGACUGCCAGGGAUAACCUGGAGGAAGGCGGGGAUGACGUCAAAUCAUCAUGCCCCUUAUGAUCUGGGCUACACACGUGCUACAAUGGUGACUACAAAGGGAAGCAGCCCUGUGAAGGUGAGCAAAUCCCAAAAAGGUCAUCCCAGCUCGGAUUGUAGUCUGCAACUCGACUACAUGAAGCUGGAAUCGCUAGUAAUCGCGAAUCAGAAUGUCGCGGUGAAUACGUUCCCGGGUCUUGUACACACCG
This 434-nucleotide ribosomal RNA is filed under the name uncultured bacterium. Its description in RNAcentral is "bacterial SSU rRNA". It matches the Rfam family "Bacterial small subunit ribosomal RNA", at positions 958 to 1392 of the family's 1533-position model. The record is from RNAcentral.